Long non-coding RNA from Bos taurus (domestic cattle), 2716 nucleotides. The record is from Ensembl. NCBI's taxonomy places the organism in Eukaryota, Metazoa, Chordata, Mammalia, Artiodactyla, Bovidae.
CAGAAACUUCGGUGAAAUCAAGUAAUACCCUGUAAGAUCAAGAUGACAAACAUGUGGAUUAGGGAGAUCAAAUGAUUUGUCCAGUUCAUAGCUAAAGAGCAACAGACUGGAGUCAAAGCCAGAUGCAACAAUUCUCGACUGUUUGGAGUUCCUCCGUCCAGUGCUCUGUGUUGGACCCUAAGUGCACACCACUGAAUGUGAAACAUUGUUCUGCAACUUGCUUUCUUCUCUUUCCAUAUCUUGGAGGUAUGAAAGAAACCUUAACACCACAUAAAUAGAAAGGUUUUUUUCUUUCAGUAAGGAAAGUGAGAGUGAGGGAAUGUAAUCGAAUGAACCCAACAUUUAUCACAGAGAAUGACAAUGACAAGACCACAGUUCAACUAGCUGAUACAAUGCCUUUGGAACCCAUCCUCAGGAUAAAUUCAGUGAAAAGCACGCUGACUUUCAAAGACUCAAUAUUUUUACUUGAUGACUAUGGAGGCAAAAUACUUUCCUUCAUCUUGUGGCAACAGAAGACAAUAAAAGUGACAAUAUUCUGUUUUUCUUCAAUUCUCUCUUCAUUUUAUAUUAGCUAUGGUUAGAGGUAACAUCGGAGAAGGCAAUGGCACCCCACUCCAGUACUCUUGCCUGGAAAACUCCAUGGACAGAGGAGCCUGGUGGGCUGCAGUCCAUGGGGUUGCUGAGAGUCGGGCAUGACUUCACUUUCACUUUCACUUUUCACUUUGUGCAUUGGAGAAGGAAAUGACAACCCACUCCAGUGUUCUUGCCUGGAGAAUCCCAGGGAUGGGGGAGCCUGGUGGGCUGCUGUCUAUGGGGUCACACAGAGUCGGACAUGACUGAAAUGACUUAGCAGCAGAGGUAACAUAAUGAAAUUGCCUAAAAAACUCUAGAAAGCAAGGUGAAACAAUCAUUUUCUUUGUAUCGAAAGAUACUUAGCCAAUGUCUUUCUUUCUCUCUUUUCAUUUUCAGCUGCAUUUGGUCUUUGUUGCUGCACGAGGGCUUUCUCUAGUUACGGUGAGCGGGGCUUGUGUUGCACAGGCUUCUCAUUGUGGUGGCUUCUCUUGUUACAGAGCCUGCAGUCUAGGGUUAUCAGGCUUCAGUAGUUUCAGCAUGUGGGCUCAGUAGUUGUGGUACACAGGCUUAGUUACCUUGCAGCAUGUGGGAUCUUUCCAGACCAGGGAUUGAACCUGUGUCCCCUGCAUUGGCAGCUGGAUUCUUAGUCACUGGACCGCCAGAGAAGCCCCAUAGCCCAUUUCUUAUUCUUGUUAUAUCUGUGCCCUGUCCUCAUGGGGCUAUUUCCUAAUAAGGAAUUAACUUGGCUGAGGAGGAGCCUGGGACAUUGACCUGACAAUUUCAUUUGCUUCCCUGGUGGCUCAGAUGGUAAAGAAUCUGCCUACAAUGCUCGGGACACGGGUUUGAUCCCUGGAUCAGGAAGAUCCUCUGGAGAAGGAAAUGGCAACCCACUCCAGUAUUCUUGCCUGGAAAAUUCUAUGGAAUUGUCCAUAGUAGCCUAGUGGGCUAUAGUCCAAGGGGUCACAAAGAGUCAGACAUGACUGAGCGACUAAUACUUUGUAACUCCAAUUCAACCCUAACCUGACAGAGAUGAUGCAAGGAAGAGUGUGUGCAGUGAAGCAAUUCUUUAGUCAUCCUAUAGGGGUAUCUUCUCCAAGAAUGUUAAAAUUAAGCCUGAUAUUUUUCACCACUGAUUUUCUUCCCUAAGCUAAUGCUGGCCUGACAACAUUGCUCAUCAUCUUGACAUAAGUGUGGAGUAUUUCUGUAUCAUCAGAGAAAAUUGCUCUAUUUAUUCUGCAUAGAGUGAUUUUCUCCUAAAUCAGAAUAGCAGUCUAUUUUAUUCCUCACUGUCACUUACUAGAUAAAUCCCAUCAAUAAAUUUGCUGUUCCUUUGUGAAUAAAUUGUCUCUGCUAUCAUUUUCAUUUUAUAGCUAGUCACAUCUUUCAUCUGGAUGCUAUUACUCACCUCCUUGAACAUUAAGUUCCUCCUUCUCAAUGAAAUAAGCUGUUCUUAGUACUUUUUCCUCCAAGUCAGUACUAAAUGCUCACAUCAAGUAAGCAUUAACGGGAAGAGUACUGGCUGGGGAUUAAGAAGUCAUGGGUCAGAUCCCAUUUCCAGUCCCCUCCGUCCAGACAUGUGACUUUGGGGCAAGCUACUUGUCAGCUUGAGUUUCUUCAUCUCUAAAAAUAGGGGAGUGUGCUCUUUCACUACUUGUAUUCCCAUCGUGGUUUGGGGAAUAAAACAAGACAGGUCUAUGUAAAAGAUCUCUGUAAGGUGUGGCACUCAAAGGCAAAUUGUUAAAGUACCAGGCACAGCUGAGGUACUCAUAAAAACCUUUUGUAUUAGUCGAAUCAAUUUCUCCCACUUACUGCUUGCCAAUACCAGAAGAUUCACAGAAUAAGGGGGACAAGAGCUGGAGUGAACACCCUGGCUUUUAACUCUGUUCCUGCCCAGUUCCUCCAACUUCACUCAUCUCAGAGAUCAGUCAAAAUAUGUAGAUACUGACUAUACAAAACGUACAGAUGUCUGAUCUGGUGAUCUGGGCAAAGCUCGUUAACCCAUAGAGUAGGUAUUAUCCCCAAGUUGAGAUAACCCAGCCUGUCUUCUGGGAAUUUGUUCUUUGAUAGGGGAGACAAACUUUCACUGUUACUAGAGUGGAGUCAAUUAAUGACUGGCCCCUAGGAGAAGCUUUUUGAAUCGCUG